Xiphophorus hellerii (green swordtail) is the source of this 3142-nucleotide long non-coding RNA. RefSeq lists it as uncharacterized. The record is from RefSeq and is a predicted model, not a curated record. NCBI's taxonomy places the organism in Eukaryota, Metazoa, Chordata, Actinopteri, Cyprinodontiformes, Poeciliidae. The transcript is spliced from 2 exons.
CCCACUAGGGACAAGGGUGUAAGAAAAUGGAUCGAUGGAUGGAUUAAUGGAUACUUAUUUGCUUUAAAAUCACUAAAAAUAGAACCGUUGUCACUCAACUUUUCACAAACAGAAAUGCAGACACAUUGGAUCCCAGCACCUCCACUCGAUUUCAGCAACUCAUCUGAACAGUCCUGGCUCCGAAUCCAUUCAGUGCGAUUUUAAUAAUCCAAUUCAAGGCAACAUUCAUCAGGAGAAAAGUAUUUUUGCGACCGCCUUUAGGUGGAAAGGCUUUAGAGUUAUUUUGCUAGAGAGCGAGUUUACAAAGCCAAGUAGUAACUCUGCAAUGCCGCCGAUGCAUUAUCAAGAUAGACACUCCGAUGUUUGAGGAAUUUAAAUGUGUCAAUGAAGCUCCUGUAUCUGCAACAUCAAAGUUUUAAACAUGUCAGAUGGCGAAAGCUACUGUUAUUUUACUUCUACUUUCUCAGUAGAAGCAACCUGCUGACAGACCAAUUACAGUGUGUCUUGAACCGAGUUCCUUGGUUGAACGAUGCGUUUUUACACCAUUUCUAAGCUGUCAGUGCGAGUAUGAACUGAUCCAGGGAGGCAUCCAGGUUCAGUUCUAUCAGGGGCAAAAUAACCAGGCAAAUCCCCGUCAGUCAGUCCUUUGAUUGGUAGAAAACAAACUAGUGGCUACUAUGGUGGAUAGUAAAACUAAUUAAAUGAAGAAAAGACAUAAACAUGCAACCACUGGAGGAUAUACAAUGCAACAUUACAAGCCAAAUCGAACAAUAGCUGCUGAAUACGUUUGCUUGGAUCAGAUCUUUAACGGUAAGAAAACAUUUUGUUUGUUUUUAUGAUUUCUGGCUCAACAGAAUUCAAGGCAUUUGUUUUCCUCAAGGUUUUAAAAACUUCCUGAAAUGUCAAAAACAGUAAUAGGUACCAAAUAUUUCUCUUAGUUUCGACAUCAAGUUUAAAAAGUUCGUACUGUGACGACUUCAUGUCAGAUUCAUCCAUUUUUACCAAUACAUUUAGUUAAAUUAAUUUUUUGUUCUUUUGAGAACAAAAAAUAUAUAUAUAAAAUGCUCGGAGCAUCCUUAAAGGACAAAGAUGUAUAUUCUUUGUACACUUUUCACCAGUGAAAUCCAAGUUUCUGAUUCAAUACUCAUAUCUUGAAGUCGCUAUUAGACAAACGUUGUCAUUUUGUUUCAUUUUGCAACCGAUAUUCUACUGGGAUUCGACUGGAGUGGCAGAAUCCGUCCCUCUUUGCGUUUCCCGCUCCCCCACCUGAAGCCAUGUAAUCUAAAUGAAUCCAAACGAACACUGGCGUGACAUUUUAAUCUGGCUUCCGGAGGCAGAACCCAGAUGUCGAAUUACGUGACCUUUAACGGUGGACUCGGCAGAGAAAGAAGCGGACGCAUUUAGACACUCACUUAAACUUGCUGUGUCAAUUUAGAAUCACCUGAAUGCUAACGAUUCCUGCAGGGAGUUGCUCGAUUAGUCCGCCGACGUGACAGACGCACCUCGGCGUCGCUUUGGUCGAGCUUGUGUGCGUCAGCGAGCGGCGAGCUGCGGUGAGGGAGAAACGUGUUCCUGCUGCUGCAGCAAGUCGUUUCACUCAGUUUAUUUGUUCCAGGAGUCUCCACAAACCAAUGAUGGGACAUGUAGCAGCAAGAUGACUUGAUACGACCCAUUGUGCACCAUAUUUAGUAAAUUGAUGAGGUAGCUUAAAAAUACAUUUUGAAAAUAACCUCUAAACAGGUGUUAGACAUACUUAUCAUUAGUGGUGAUCGAUGCUGCAUAUUUUGAUAUCGAUCCAAUACCAUAUAAAGUAUCGUCGAUAUUGAUUGAUACCAGUAUCGAUACUAAUUGUUUAACUCUGAAACCAUCAAACAUCUGACCUCUAGGCAAUUUUGUGUUUUUUCUCCUGGAUUAAAAAAAUUAAUUAGGACAGAAAUUUAGGUAAAGUCUCAACACAAUAAUUUCAUAACAUAUAUUCAGAUGGUAAACAGAAACAUUACGAAAACAAAGCAUUUUUUGCGUUGUUUUCUAAUUAAACAAACUGGAAAAAUUAUAAUUUAAGAGUGGAUGAACGCAAAAUCUUUUUUGUUGUACAGUUGAGAAACUACAGUACAAGCUUCCUGCCCACCUUUAAAUCUCACUGAGGCAUUAUUGUUAAUGGAAAUAUAGGCUUGAAAACAUCAAUCUGUGCAUAAUUCAUCUACACAAUAUGUUUCACUUAGUCAUUUUUGUUAUUAAAAUCAAAGACAUUUUCAAGAAUAUUCUAAUUUGUUAAAUAUGACUGCAUAGCCGUGCCUGCUUGUGGAGGAGGAGUUUCGCAGUAUCUCUGAACUUCGGUUUUGUGUGUAGGGUAUUUCCGAGGUCGUUGUAUCAUUGACACGGUAACUCUACAAAACUGGCUCACAAUUUUUUGUGAGCCAGUUUCCCAUAGUUGUUUAAAACAGCCCACCUUCUUUCACAACAACACAAACCUAUGAAAUAAUGGUGAGGAACUUUGCAGUUUCUGCAUGUGACCUGUCUCCAAGAGAGACCAGCUAAUGAAAGGGACACACUUUCAAAUGAACGGCUGUGUUUUUUCGUUUUUUGGGGGGGGGGUUUGUUUGUCUAUAAUGUAAAGUUAUUUGAAAACUUUUGUGCUGUGCAAUGUGAAAUUCAUGGAGUAUUGUACUUUUAAAUGUGCCUGAAAAGAAAAGGAAAAAAAACAACAACCUGUUUUGAUCAUUUCCUUAAAACUGUCUCAGUGCAGUGGGUGAAAGUUAAAUGCUAAGGUAGAAUAGAUGAGAAUAUUUGGAACCAAAAAGCUGUUUCAAGUUUGUGGUUUGUAAAGUACCUCACAGGUUCACGCACAUUUUGAUUUCUGUUCGUUUGAUUUCUGUUCGUAAUAAUAAUUAUUAUUAUUUUCCUACUUUUGACAAAUAGCAAACAGCUGUGAUCGGAGAUAUUUUGUGUUCUGCAUGCAGGUUGCUGCAAAAAAAAAAACACACGACUUGCAACACGGGCAAGCCCACACACACACCCACACACACUACGUGAGCAAAUCCAGUGACUUUUUGCACGUUUGUAGUUUUCCUCUGCUGCUUCAUGGAUUGUUUGAAUAUUUUGUAUUGUUUAUUUGUCAAUAAUAAAGAGCAAUUACAUCUUA